GAGGGUGUAGCUCAGUGGUAGAGUGCAUGCUUAGCAUGCAUGAGGUCCUGGGUUCAAUCUCAGUACCUUCA
Molecule: transfer RNA, 71 nt
Filed under: Camelus bactrianus (Bactrian camel)
Lineage: Eukaryota; Metazoa; Chordata; Mammalia; Artiodactyla; Camelidae
Also listed under: 2 other names
Rfam family: tRNA
About the family: Transfer RNA (tRNA) molecules are approximately 80 nucleotides in length. Their secondary structure includes four short double-helical elements and three loops (D, anti-codon, and T loops).
Source: Rfam by way of RNAcentral